Cinara cedri is the source of this 435-nucleotide non-coding RNA. The record is from the annotation of a GenBank genome assembly. NCBI's taxonomy places the organism in Eukaryota, Metazoa, Arthropoda, Insecta, Hemiptera, Aphididae.
AAAACGGUAAAACAUAGGAAAACGGGAAAAUAGGUGUAAUAUUAAACAAUUAUGAAAAAAAUGUUUAAUGCAAAUAAUUAUUAUUUUACAUUAAUAUGGCAUAUUAUAUAUUGUUGACAAAGCAAUAUUAUCAACCAUACUCCGCUCAGAAUUGUUUUUUCAUUAGCAAUGAUUUAUCGUUGCUUACAGAUAUACAUUAAAUUUCCCCCUAUACUAUCUUCCCAACUUUUCACCCUUAACAGUAGCUGCACCCAUCCCCAUUAUCCUAGGACAAUUUUUUUUUCAAGUUACAACACUUUUUCUUAGGAGUAUAGUGGAUAUAUACUUAUACAAAAAAAUACCUAAAAAUUAGAUGGAAGCAGAACCUGUCAAUCACAUUUGUUUCAUAAUUUUCAAGGAUAAAACGUUAAAAUCCAUUAUAUUAAUAUAGCUUUA